GUCCACGCUGUAAACGAUGGGUACUAGGCGUCGGGGGGAGCGACCCCUUCGGUGCCGUCGCUAACGCAAUAAGUACCCCGCCUGGGGAGUACGGUCGCAAGACUGAAACUCAAAGGAAUUGACGGGGGCCCGCACAAGCGGUGGAGCAUGUGGUUUAAUUCGAAGCAACGCGAAGAACCUUACCUGGGCUUGACAUGCACGGGAAAGCCGGUGGAAACAUUGGCCCCUCUUCGGAGUCCGUGCACAGGUGCUGCAUGGCUGUCGU
This 265-nucleotide ribosomal RNA is filed under the name uncultured bacterium. RNAcentral's name for it is "partial 16S ribosomal RNA". It matches the Rfam family "Bacterial small subunit ribosomal RNA", at positions 793 to 1055 of the family's 1533-position model. The record is from RNAcentral.